RNAcentral lists this ribosomal RNA (998 nucleotides) under Peribacillus butanolivorans. Its description in RNAcentral is "bacterial SSU rRNA". It matches the Rfam family "Bacterial small subunit ribosomal RNA", at positions 39 to 1023 of the family's 1533-position model. Lineage: Bacteria; Bacillati; Bacillota; Bacilli; Caryophanales; Bacillaceae. The record is from RNAcentral.
GCUGGGUGCUAUACUGCAGUCGAGCGAUCGAUGGGAGCUUGCUCCCUGAGAUUAGCGGCGGACGGGUGAGUAACACGUGGGCAACCUGCCUAUAAGACUGGGAUAACUUCGGGAAACCGGAGCUAAUACCGGAUACGUUCUUUUCUCGCAUGAGAGAAGAUGGAAAGACGGCCUCUACUGGUCCCUUAUAAAGGGGCCCGCGCCGCAUUACUUAUUUGGGGAGGUAUGGGUUCACCAGGGCAACAAGGCUUACCCAACCGGAAAGGGGGACCGGCCACCCGGGAACGAAAACCCGGCCCAAAUCCCUACGGAAGGCACCAUUAGGGAACCUUCCCCAUGGAACAAAAGUCGAACGAACCACCCCCCCGGGAACAAAAAAGGCCUUCGGGCCGAAAAGUUCGGUGGUUAGGGAAAACCAGUUACCAAAUUACCGGCGGGAACCUUGACGGACCCUAACCAAAAAGCCCCGGUUAAUUACUUGCCACCACCCCCGGUAUUACUUAGGGGGCAGGCGUUGUCCGGAUUUAUGGGCCGUAAAGCGCGCGCAGGGGGUUCCUUAAUUCUAAGGUGAAACCCCACGGUUCACCCGGGAAGGGCCUUUGAAAAUUGGGAAAUUUGAUUGCAAAAAAGAAAAGGGAAAUUCCAAUGGAACCGUUAAAUUGCUUAAAAAUUUGAAGAACCACCAUGGCCAAAGGCAAUUUUCGGGCCGGUACUUGACAUUAAGGCCCGAAGCCUGGGGAAGCAAACAGGAUAAAAUACCCUGGUAUUCCACGCCGUAAACAAUAAUUGCUAAUUGUAAAAGGGUUUCCGCCCUUUAUUGCUGCAGCUAACGCAUUAAGCACUCCGCCUGGGGAGUACGGCCGCAAGGCUGAAACUCAAAGGAAUUGACGGGGGCCCGCACAAGCGGUGGAACAUGUGGUUUAAUUCGAAGCAACGCGAAGAACCUUACCAGGUCUUGACAUCCUCUGACAACCCUAGAGAUAGGGCGUUCCCCUUCG